AGCGGGGAUUGUGGGAAAUGUAGUUUGGUGACUCCGCCCUCUUCGCCAUUACUGUAAUGGCUGCUUCCUGGGAGACGGUGUCACGUGGAACCUCUUAGCCUCAGCAUCCGGACUUCCAGGAAGGGAAUAUUUCAAGUCAGAUAGAAUUUAUAUCUACUGUUUCUUUGGAACCUUCAACCAUCAAGAUCCCAGCAUCAUGACCUCAGUUUCAACACAGUUGCUCUUAGUCCUCAUUUCACUGCUUUUGGUGUUGCCUGUUGUUGAAGCAGUAGAAGCUGGAGAUGCUAUCGCUCUCCUUUUAGGUGUGGUUCUCAGCAUCACAGGCAUUUGUGCUUGCUUGGGGGUGUAUGCACGAAAGAGAAAUGGACAAAUGUGACUUUAAAGGGCCUCCUGAAUCAAACCACACUCUGAAAACCUUUGUGCUGUUGAGGCUAAUCCUGAACUUUGGUGUCUGGAACUUGCCAAGAAACAGUAAAUAGGGUAGUUUCACAUUCUUAGUUGUUUCCCGUAAAAUGGGAACAAAUCAAUGUAUGUUAAAUGGGAAAAAAUGUUUUCUUUAUAACAAAUAAUGCGCUGAAAAAUGCAGCCUAUAAUUUGUAUUUGCUGGUUAGAAAGGGGGUCAAAGAAUUAAGAUGGUUGAAUUCACAUAAGUAACAUUUCAGUUUCGGAGUUCUCAAAACACAUGAAAUAAGAAGGAAGCUCUUGCCCAGAAUCCUACUUAAUUGCCACUGUUCAGUUGGAAUCACUGCCUGCCGAAUCGUCGAGGAGUCUUUUCUCCAUAUUUUCAUUAGAUUUUUGUUUUGUUAUCUCCCAAGUUAAUAUUGUACUUAGAUAUCAAAUAGUGAGCCAAUAAUUGAAACUUUUAUAUCUGGAGGGAAAAAAAGUUUAGAAAACUGUAAUUAAAUGUGUCUAAUAUUGAAAUGGAGAAAAGAUUUAAUGUUAAAAAAAAACUUUAUAUUGAAAGUGAGAUAUUUAAUGUUUUAAAAUCUUUAUAUUGAUUAGCUGAGUAACAUCUCUAUGGUGAGAAAUACCGUAUUAAAUAUAAACACAUUAUGUUGUAAGUUAA
Molecule: long non-coding RNA, 1066 nt
Organism: Galeopterus variegatus (Sunda flying lemur)
Lineage: Eukaryota; Metazoa; Chordata; Mammalia; Dermoptera; Cynocephalidae
Exons: 3
Source: RefSeq, a predicted model, not a curated record